UUUGCGGUAGAACCCGGGGCGGAGCUCCCCAGCCCUCACUGCGGUCUUUCUUUCCAGUGGCCUCGGACGGUGAGGUCAUGUCUUUUCGAGCUCCGCUACACGUGGGGGGUGAUCAAGCCAGCUGGUGGCCCCCUUAAGAAGUAUGAUGAGGGAUUUCAGCUUACAAAGAGGUCAGAAGUACAAAAGGCCUUGGCCCCAGUGGAAGAACAGAGAUGAAAAGCCCAGAAACCUGUCCCCAUGAAACUCCUGGCGGGGGAGAAGGAUUCAAAAUGGGUAUAAGGUGGCGCUACCAGCACAGGGAGGAACUUUCCAUUGCUGGCUGAAGAAUAAUUACUCCCUGUUGUUGGGUUCCCUGAGUCAGUAUACAUUCCCUAAGGGGUUUGGGUGGCUUAAUCAUGCAAAUUAAAAUGAUCUAAUAGGAUUUGCUACUUGA
Phascolarctos cinereus (koala) is the source of this 433-nucleotide long non-coding RNA. RefSeq lists it as uncharacterized. Lineage: Eukaryota; Metazoa; Chordata; Mammalia; Diprotodontia; Phascolarctidae. The record is from RefSeq and is a predicted model, not a curated record.